UACGGGGGGAGCAAGCGUUGUUCGGAUUUACUGGGCGUAAAGGGCGCGUAGGCGGUCGUGACAAGUCACUUGUGAAAUCUCCGGGCUUAACUCGGAACGGUCAAGUGAUACUGUCGGACUAGAGUACAGAAGGGGCAACUGGAAUUCUCGGUGUAGCGGUGAAAUGCGUAGAUAUCGAGAGGAACACCUGCGGCGAAGGCGGGUUGCUGGGCUGACACUGACGCUCAUGCACGAAAGCGUGGGGAGCAAACAGG
RNAcentral lists this ribosomal RNA (254 nucleotides) under uncultured bacterium. RNAcentral's name for it is "partial 16S ribosomal RNA". It matches the Rfam family "Bacterial small subunit ribosomal RNA", at positions 524 to 776 of the family's 1533-position model. The record is from RNAcentral.